This 495-nucleotide ribosomal RNA is filed under the name uncultured bacterium. RNAcentral's name for it is "partial 16S ribosomal RNA". It matches the Rfam family "Bacterial small subunit ribosomal RNA", at positions 28 to 507 of the family's 1533-position model. The record is from RNAcentral.
GACGUACGCUGGCGGCGUGCCUAAUACAUGCACGUAGAACGCUGAAGGAGGAUCUUUCUCUUCUGGCUGAGUUGCGAACGGGUGAGUAACGCGUAUGUAACCUGCCUGGUAGCGGGGGAUAACUAUUGGAAACGAUAGCUAAUACCGCCUAACAGUAGAUGUUGCAUGACAUUUACUUAAAAGGUGCAAUUGUAUCACUUUAAGAUUGACCUGCUUUGUCUUAUCUAGUUGGUGGGGUAACGGCUCACCAAGGCGACGAUACAUAGUCGACCAGAGAGUGCGAUCGGCCACGCUGGGACUGAGACGCGGCGCAGACUCCUAAGUGAGGCAGCAGUAGGGAGUCUUCGGCAAAGGACGGAAGUCUGACCGAGCAACGCAGCGUGAGUGAAGAAGGGUUUCGGAUCGUAAAGCGCUGUUGUAAGAGAAGAACGAGGGUGGGAGUGGAAAGUUCACACUGUGACGGUAACUUACCAGAGAGGGACGGCUAGCUACGUG